AUGGCGCCUCUCGGUGAUACUGUUGCUCCUGUGGCCGCCGCCGCGGUGCCCGGCUUCGUCGUUUCCUUCGGUGAGAUGCUGAUCGACUUUGUGCCGAACGUGGCCGGCGUCUCGCUCGCUGAGUCCGGAGGCUUCGUCAAGGCGCCCGGGGGUGCGCCCGCCAACGUCGCAUGUGCCGUUUCCAAGCUCGGCGGCUCCUCCGCCUUCGUCGGCAAGUUUGGCGACGACGAGUUCGGCCACAUGCUGGUGGACAUCCUCAAGCAGAACGGCGUGAACGCGGAGGGCUGCCUCUUCGACCAGCACGCGCGCACCGCCCUGGCCUUCGUCACCCUCAAGUCCAACGGAGAGCGCGAGUUCAUGUUCUACCGCAACCCGUCCGCUGACAUGCUCCUCACCGAGGCGGAGCUCAACCUCGACCUCAUCCACCGCGCCCGCAUCUUCCACUAUGGCUCCAUCUCGCUCAUCACCGAGCCCUGCCGCUCCGCCCACGUGACGGCAUCAUGA
This 504-nucleotide ribosomal RNA is filed under the name Triticum aestivum (bread wheat). RNAcentral's name for it is "partial small subunit ribosomal RNA". Lineage: Eukaryota; Viridiplantae; Streptophyta; Magnoliopsida; Poales; Poaceae. The record is from RNAcentral.